UGGCGAACGGGUGAGUAACACGUGGGUGAUCUGCCCUGCACUUUGGGAUAAGCCUGGGAAACUGGGUCUAAUACCAGAUAGGACCAUGCUUUGGAUGGUGUGGUUGAAAGUUUUUUCGGUGUGGGAUGAGCUUGCGGCCUAUCAGCUUGUUGGUGGGGUAAUGGCCUACCAAGGCGUCGACGGGUAGCCGGCCUGAGAGGGUGUACGGCCACAUUGGGACUGAGAUACGGCCCAG
Molecule: ribosomal RNA, 235 nt
Filed under: uncultured Actinomycetales bacterium
Lineage: Bacteria; Bacillati; Actinomycetota; Actinomycetes; Actinomycetales
Description: partial 16S ribosomal RNA
Rfam family: Bacterial small subunit ribosomal RNA
Source: RNAcentral